CGUGUAGGUGGUUUAGCAAGUCAGAUGUGAAAGCCCUGGGCUCAACCCAGGAAGUGCAUUUGAAACUGCUAUUCUAGAGUAUGGGAGAGGAGAGUGGAAUUCCCAGUGUAGAGGUGAAAUUCGUAGAUAUUGGGAGGAACACCGGUGGCGAAGGCGACUCUCUGGACCAAUACUGACACUGAGACGACGAAAGCGGUGGGGAGCAAACA
RNAcentral lists this ribosomal RNA (209 nucleotides) under uncultured bacterium. RNAcentral's name for it is "partial 16S ribosomal RNA". It matches the Rfam family "Bacterial small subunit ribosomal RNA", at positions 568 to 774 of the family's 1533-position model. The record is from RNAcentral.